UAUACACAAAAAUGAAGUACAGAUGUAUAUCAAAUGACUGCUGUGGGCUUGUGGUAAACAGAAAACCAUGCUUUAAAUUGAAAAACCUUGUUAUAUGCCAUGUUUUUCAUUUAAUAAUAUUAAAAGCACUCUUGAAAUUGAACUUCUUGAAAAUAUGUUUCAUUGUUUUGUAAAAAUAUCUUAAGUUAUCUAUUCUAAAUUAUCUAUUCUUAUAUAAGAAAUACAAAUUAAAAUUGGUUAUUGGAAAUAAGUCAAUUAAAAGUCAAGGGAUAAUGAUGUAAUGUACUUAAAAAUGUCAAAACUGCUAUUGUCUCUAUUUGUAUUCUAGAUAUGUUAUAUCCUUAAACAAACAAAUACAAUGUUGUCUCCUUGUUGAAUAGGUGUUGUGUACCUCUGAACAUGUCAAGUCAUUUACUUUAAGUAUUUUAAAUUAGUUCUCACUAUCUGCACCCGUAAGUCACUCAUGAAUUUUGUGUAAUAAACAUUGGAUAAAUAUAUUUUUAUAUAAUCAAUUAUAAGAUAAGGUAAAAAGUGUAUGUGCGUUAUAAGUAAUAAACAUUGGAUAAAUAUAUUUUUAUAUAAUCGAUUAUAAGAUAAGGUGAAAAAUGUAUGAGCGUUAUUAGUAAUAAACAUUGGAUAAAUAUAUUUUUAUAUAAUCGAUUAUAAGAUAAGGUGAAUAGUGUAUGUGCGUUAUUAAAUUCAUCAGGUAUGACCAUACUGUGCUACAAGUUUUGUAAUUGUGACUAUUAAAAGUACAUGAUCUGCAAAAAAUGUCACUUAAACAAAUGUGUAUAUGUUUAUCAUUAUUAAAUUCUUUCCAACUAGA
Dreissena polymorpha is the source of this 826-nucleotide long non-coding RNA. RefSeq lists it as uncharacterized. The record is from RefSeq and is a predicted model, not a curated record. The transcript is spliced from 2 exons. NCBI's taxonomy places the organism in Eukaryota, Metazoa, Mollusca, Bivalvia, Myida, Dreissenidae.